UGAGGGAAUAGCAGGGAUAUUCAGAACCUUGGCCAUCACCGAAAUAUCUAAAGUUUAGGCUGAAAAAUAUCUGCUUCAGUAAAACCUUAUCUGCCUACCCUCUGCCGUGGUGCACUCUACCAUAUCCCUGCCUUGCUGUGCUCAAGGGUCCGGCGUGGAUCUUCAGGAUUGAGCCACGCAUCCAUACCCAUGCGUUCACUGGCACCUCCAGAGCCCCCCUCGCUGUAAUCCCAUGAACCUAGACAUCGCUUGAUCUUUUCCCUGCCCAUUUAAGAGUAACCAAAGGGGGGGAGAAAGGGGAGUAAAGGAGAGAUCCCUGCCUCUGUCGUAAGCCACUUUGUGUGACUUCAAAACAGUAUUGUUGCCUUCGCUUCUCCAGACUAUACCCUGGAAACGCCCAAGCCUCUAGCCAAGUGGCUUCACGUGUCUGGUGACCACGUCGCCGACGCCUCAACCUCACGUGGCCAGAACGUAGUCGCGCCACCGCAAAUCGUCGUCGUGUUUAGUUUCAUCGUCGGCCGGCCAACGUACGACUUCCCCGAGCAGUUUCAUGCACCCACCAAGAACUUGGACUGUCAGGAAUUUGUGAGUUACAAAGCACUGAACAGAGGGAGAGGAAUGGAGCACUAGAAGAUGAAUUCAGAGAAACGAAAACAGAAUUCCUAGAAGAAGAAGAUGAUGAAAUUCAAGAAGUGGUUUCUGAAGAGGAGUCUGCUUCAGUGCUUGCUCAUCAAGUGAUGGGAGCCAUCUAACUCGGUAUUUAAUAGAGGGAUCUGAAACCUCUUUAUUGCAAUAAG
Zea mays is the source of this 797-nucleotide long non-coding RNA. RefSeq lists it as uncharacterized. The record is from RefSeq and is a predicted model, not a curated record. The transcript is spliced from 3 exons. NCBI's taxonomy places the organism in Eukaryota, Viridiplantae, Streptophyta, Magnoliopsida, Poales, Poaceae.